GUGAGAAAUAGAAAUUAGAGAGAGAGAGAGAGAAAUGUGGAUUGUGGUUGCUGUAGUCCUCAGUUUUUAAGUUCGUGGAAUUCUUGAGAAUGGAAGCACAGGAAAAUUGGUUCUCUCUCUACCCUUUAAUGGCGGAUUAAGAGAGAGAGAGAGAGAGAGAGGAAGAGAGUCGAAAUUCGAGUAAUGGGAAGUCUCGUCUCGUCUCGUCUGUUCUCUAACUGUUGAAGUGAUCGAAACCUGCUUACCGAUCUUGAUGGCGAAAACUGGUGUGUUUGAUUCUAAUCCUACAGUCGUGGGGAAGGCUACGGAUUUGAAGAGGGAGUUACAGAAGCUCAUCGUUGCUAUAAUUGAUGAUGAUAAUUUCUCCAUAGACGCUAUUGAUCAAGCUAAAGAGAUUCUUUGUGCGCUCAAGGAGUUGAAACUCAGGAAGAGAUCACGCUCUUCGAAUCUCUACGAGAAUCUCAUUUGCCCUGAUGAAUUCCGUUGUCCGCUUUCUACAGAGCUCAUGAAAGAUCCUGUUGUUGUCUCAACUGGCGAGACAUUCGACAGACCCUUCAUUCAAAAAUGGUUGAAAUCAGGAAACCGAACGUGCCCAAGAACUCAGCAAGUUCUUUCACACACGAACCUUACUCCCAAUCACUUGAUUCGUGGAAUGAUAUCUCGGUGGUGUAGUAGUCGGGGAAUUGAGUUGCAAGAUCGUGUCCAUUAUCUUGAUGAUGAUAUAAUAACAGAGGCUGAUCGGGGCCGUUUUCAUACGUUAAUAGAGAAAAUGUCUGCAACAUUACCUGAACAAAAAGCAGCUGCUAAGGAGCUUCGGAUGUUGACAAAGCGGAUGCCCUCAUUUCGAGCACUUUUUGGUGAGUCCCAUGAUGCCAUCUCUUUGUUGCUUAGUCCACUUUGUGGAGAUAAAUCCCAAAGUAGUGUUCAUGCGGAUCUGCAAGAAGAUUUGAUCACAACCCUCUUGAAUCUGUCAAUCCAUGACAACAACAAGAAACUUGUUUCUGAAACUCCCAAGGUAGUACCUCUUCUAAUGGAAGCAUUGAGAUCAGGAACCAUGGAAACAAGGAGCAAUGCAGCUGCCGCCCUUUUCACUCUGUCAGCUCUCGACUCAAACAAAGUACUCAUUGGGAAAGCUGGUGCCUUGAAACCACUCAUCGACCUUUUAGAUGAGGGGCAUCCAUUAUCUAUCAAAGAUGCUGCUUCAGCAAUAUUUAAUCUUUGUAUAAUUCAUGAAAAUAAAGCAAGAGCUGUGAAAGAUGGUGCAGUUCGAGUGCUUCUGAAAAAGAUCAUGAACCAAAUGCACGUUGAUGCGUUGUUGGCUAUUCUAGCAAUGCUUUCGAACCAUCCAAAAGCUAUUGAGGAAAUGGGAGAACUUAGAGCUGUUCAUUCCCUGCUCAGAAUUAUCAGGGAAAGUACUUGUUCACGUAACAAGGAAAAUUGCAUUGUGAUCAUCCAUGCUAUUUGCUUAUACGAUCGAACCCAGUGGAAGGACAUGAGGGAGGAGGAGAAAUGCUAUCGAACCAUUUCUGAACUUGCUCAGAAUGGGACUUCAAGAGCCAAGAGAAAGGCCAGUGGCAUACUCGAGAGACUGAACAGGGUAGUUAAUACGACCCAUACUACAUAAUGAAAUUCUUGGCGUUCGAAACUUGUAGAUUCUGCCUCUAAAUCCGGCACUCUGGUCUUUGCCAAGACUCGUUCAUCUCAUCUGUUUUGGUAAUCUUCAAUCAACUUGUCUGUAUAUUCUCUUUUACUGUGGAGUCUAAUUUCGAUUUCACUGCCAGCUUCAUCGGUUCGUGCCUGUGAAUAAAUGUGAAGUUAGUUCACUUGGAGGCUACUUCGAUUUAUUGUCUUCAGUUCUCUCUCUUCAAAUGGUUGUUUUCUAUAAUAUAUAUUACCAUAAAUAGUACACCAAAUCAAGUCAGGUUGCUUUCCAGUCCCCUUUUUUCUGUAUUCAAGGGAGGGAAACCCCCCCUCAUCCUCAUGUCCCUGCUAGCUGUAUCUUUGGAUUUUAUUUAUAGAAUCUUCAUUGAAACAUU
Cucurbita moschata (crookneck pumpkin) is the source of this 2036-nucleotide RNA transcript. It is a transcript of the gene named U-box domain-containing protein 9-like, with no coding region annotated. The transcript has 3 exons. The record is from RefSeq and is a predicted model, not a curated record. Lineage: Eukaryota; Viridiplantae; Streptophyta; Magnoliopsida; Cucurbitales; Cucurbitaceae.